CCCCGGUGAAGCUGAACAUAGACACAUAUGCCCAUCAGCAAGAGUGAGAUUCAUUAAUUUAAUUAAUUUGGUCAAUGAAUACCAGAGAGAAGGGAGAGGAGAUUACAUGUAUGUGACCUGGUGGCUGUGAUUUUCCUACCCAAGAAGACAAAGCAGAGGACUCUGAGAAAGAGAACAGCCACUGUUUUUCUCCCCUUGGAGGGUAGCAGAUGUGCCCCACCACUGCAUGAUAUUUGCCGGGCUCUCCUUGCCCUGGUGGCCUCUGGAGACAGGCUUCUGGUUUAGAGAUGCUUUUCUUAGUUCAUUUCUGGUUACUGUGGCCAUGUCACCACCCUUCACUUCUGUGAUAUCAAAACAACCAUGCCUAUGAAUUAGCAGAUGCCUUUUCUAUCUGCAAGUCUGGGUGGAGUUGCUGGCCCUGUUCUUGGCAGUUCUGCAUUAGGAAGCCUAAUUGCAGGUGCUGGGUCCUCUGUGAGCCCUCUGAAGUUCUCCAAGAAGAGGUGAGCCAGGGGACCCUUCUGGACUCUGAGUGACAUUAGUGUCCUCACUUUCCCUUAAUGAGAAAACACCAUUACACAACACAGACUUGAGAGCAGUAUUAAACUCUGUGCUUUUCUUCCACCCCCAGAUGGUACACAGGGUUUUUCUUUUGCCAUGUUCCAAGACAUCUUACUUUAAAAUUACUGAGCAUUAUUGUCUAAGGAUUCUGACUACCAGAGACCUUCAAAAGAGAGACGGCCCCAUCUCUAAUGUGCAUUUGGGUAAAAGGAGCCAUUAGGGGUUUCCAAAGGCCUCUUCCUCAUUUGCCCAGUUUUUGAGAGGUUUUUGUGGUCCUUUGUUUCCUUUUUGAUUUGGAGAUUUGAGGUGGAUGUUGUUUGUUAUUUGUCCUUGUAUUCAGAGUUUUUCCCUUCUCCCUAAAAUGCCUCUCAUCACAUGACAAUAUUCUCCUUAGAAUAAGACCCAACAGCCUUUCCUCUCUCUCCUGAAUGGAUUUUCUUUUGCAGUGACCUCUGUGGGAGGUCAAUGCCACCAGUUGAGAGGUGCCUAUGCCAUGACUUGACACCAUAGCAGGCCACCCACAGUCCCCAUCUCUCCUCCUGAGGUCUCCCUCUGUCCAUCAUUUUGAUAGAGAGCCAGUCAGAAUUCAAUGUCCAAUAUCCUACCAGCACUAGAAGCCCAUCAGCUGAUUCUUGUUCUCCUGCCUCUCUGCAGGUGGGAAACCUGACUCCAAUUGCCUGCUCCUGCCUCUGCAGGGGUCCACUCGGAAAACAGGAGAAUAACAAGGCUUCCUGUUACUCCUUUGGCUAUGAUACAAUUUGUUCCCAUCUGCCCCCAGGCUCACCCCUGCUCAAACUCAG
Molecule: long non-coding RNA, 1358 nt
Filed under: Marmota monax (woodchuck)
Lineage: Eukaryota; Metazoa; Chordata; Mammalia; Rodentia; Sciuridae
Source: RNAcentral